Long non-coding RNA from Cucumis sativus (cucumber), 887 nucleotides. RefSeq lists it as uncharacterized. The transcript has 2 exons. The record is from RefSeq and is a predicted model, not a curated record. NCBI's taxonomy places the organism in Eukaryota, Viridiplantae, Streptophyta, Magnoliopsida, Cucurbitales, Cucurbitaceae.
AAAGAAAAGAAAAUGAAAAUUUCUUUUUUCCCUUUUCUUCUUCCGCCCAGCGCCGCGACCCUCCCUUCCGUUCUCCAUCUCCGUUCGCGAAGCAACCUUGCAGCAGUCGUCCCGCGUGACUCUCCGUUCGUCUGUUUCCGUCUCCAUUCACCGAAGCCGAACCCAACCGCCACCCUCUCUUUUCUCCUUCGGAUCGAAACCGCCGCGCCCAUCCACCUGUAACUGUCGUGCCUCCCCGCUCACAACCGUCGUCCAGAUCUGCAUCGCCGAGCCGUCCAGGUCCUCGCUGCCGCUCGUGCUUCACCCUUGCAGUUCGCAGUAACCCAGAUCCGUCGCUGCAACCGUCGGCCGGUUCGUGAAGCCCUGCCGCGCAACCUCUGUUUCCAGCCGCCGCCCAUUUCGUUCUCCUCUGUUUUCUGCACUGCCGCGCGACUCUCCGACCGCGUCUGUCUUCACCUCCGUGAAGCCGUCGAUGCAUACAUCUUGUGAAGCCCGGUCGCCGCGUCAGAUCGUCGAUCGAUUUUGAGGCAGCCGCCACGUCUCCUUUGGCCGACCGCUGACCGACCCACACUUAGGAUUUUUGCUGCGAGUUCGACAGUCGUGCGUUGAGGUGUUGGGAGUAACGUUGGGCUCCCUUAAAUUCACAACCAAUAUAUGAAUUGUUGAGGGUUCAGUUCGCCAAUACUUCGGAUUGUUUCGAGGACGUUAGUUGAUUAAGGAGCUUCCCUAACUUUGAGGUAAGGGAUUUUCUACUGGACUCACUUAUGAUUGUGAAUUGUAUGUCUGUAUGAUUGUCUCUGACUGAGUAAAGAUGUUGAGAUGAUAUAUAUAUAUACACGUAUGGAUGUAGAUUCGGUGUUGAAUGUAUACUGUGGAUUGACUGAAAA